RNAcentral lists this ribosomal RNA (412 nucleotides) under uncultured bacterium. RNAcentral's name for it is "bacterial SSU rRNA". It matches the Rfam family "Bacterial small subunit ribosomal RNA", at positions 355 to 765 of the family's 1533-position model. The record is from RNAcentral.
UAAGGAAUAUUGGUCAAUGGACGCAAGUCUGAACCAGCCGUGCCGCGUGAAGGAUGAAGGUCCUCUGGAUUGUAAACUUCUUUUAUCUGGGACGAAAACGGGAUUUUUAUCUCAAUUGACGGUACCAGAGGAAUAAGCACCGGCUACCUCCGUGCCAGCAGCCGCGGUAAUACGGAGGGUGCGAGCGUUAUCCGGAUUUACUGGGUUUAAAGGGUGCGUAGGUGGGCUUAUAAGUCAGUGGUGAAAUCUCCGAGCUUAACUUGGAAACUGCCGUUGAUACUAUAGGUCUUGAAUUAUCUGGAGGUCAGCGGAAUAUGUCAUGUCGCGGCGAAAUGCUUAGAUAUGACAUAGAACACCAAUUGCGAAGGCAGCUUACUACAUAUAAAUUGACGCUGAGGCACGAAAGCGUGGG